UUAAGUUAGAAAGGGCGCACGGUGGAUGCCUUGACACUAGGAGUCGAUGAAGGACGGGACUAACGCCGAUAUGCUUCGGGGAGCUGUAAGUAAGCUUUGAUCCGAAGAUUUCCGAAUGGGGAAACCCACCAUACGUAAUGGUAUGGUAUCCUUAUCUGAAUACAUAGGGUAAGGAAGACAGACCCAGGGAACUGAAACAUCUAAGUACCUGGAGGAAGAGAAAGCAAAUGCGAUUUCCUGAGUAGCGGCGAGCGAAACGGAACAUAGCCCAAACCAAGAGGCUUGCCUCUUGGGGUUGUAGGACAUUCUAUACGGAGUUACAAAGGAACGAGGUAGACGAAGCGACCUGGAAAGGUCCGUCGUAGAGGGUAACAACCCCGUAGUCGAAACUUCGUUCUCUCUUGAAUGUAUCCUGAGUACGGCGGAACACGUGAAAUUCCGUCGGAAUCUGGGAGAACCAUCUCCCAAGGCUAAAUACUCCCUAGUGAUCGAUAGUGAACCAGUACCGUGAGGGAAAGGUGAAAAGCACCCCGGAAGGGGAGUGAAAGAGAUCCUGAAACCGUGUGCCUACAAAUAGUCAGAGCCCGUUAACGGGUGAUGGCGUGCCUUUUGUAGAAUGAACCGGCGAGUUACGAUCCCGUGCGAGGUUAAGCUGAAGAGGCGGAGCCGCAGCGAAAGCGAGUCUGAAUAGGGCGUUUAGUACGUGGUCGUAGACCCGAAACCAGGUGAUCUACCCAUGUCCAGGGUGAAGUUCAGGUAACACUGAAUGGAGGCCCGAACCCACGCACGAUGAAAAGUGCGGGGAUGAGGUGUGGGUAGCGGAGAAAUUCCAAUCGAACCUGGAGAUAGCUGGUUCUCCCCGAAAUAGCUUUAGGGCUAGCCUUAAGUGUAAGAGUCUUGGAGGUAGAGCACUGAUUGGACUAGGGGUCCUCAUCGGAUUACCGAAUUCAGUCAAACUCCGAAUGCCAAUGACUUAUCCUUAGGAGUCAGACUGCGAGUGAUAAGAUCCGUAGUCAAAAGGGAAACAGCCCAGACCGCCAGCUAAGGUCCCAAAGUGUGUAUUAAGUGGAAAAGGAUGUGGAGUUGCUUAGACAACUAGGAUGUUGGCUUAGAAGCAGCCACCAUUUAAAGAGUGCGUAAUAGCUCACUAGUCGAGUGACUCUGCGCCGAAAAUGUACCGGGGCUAAAUACACCACCGAAGCUGCGGAUUGAUACCAAUGGUAUCAGUGGUAGGGGAGCGUUCUAAGGACAGUGAAGUCAGACCGGAAGGACUGGUGGAGUGCUUAGAAGUGAGAAUGCCGGUAUGAGUAGCGAAAGACGGGUGAGAAUCCCGUCCACCGAAUGCCUAAGGUUUCCUGAGGAAGGCUCGUCCGCUCAGGGUUAGUCAGGACCUAAGCCGAGGCCGACAGGCGUAGGCGAUGGACAACAGGUUGAUAUUCCUGUACCACCUCUUUAUCGUUUGAGCAAUGGAGGGACGCAGAAGGAUAGAAGAAGCGUGCGAUUGGUUGUGCACGUCCAAGCAGUUAGGCUGAUAAGUAGGCAAAUCCGCUUAUCGUGAAGGCUGAGCUGUGAUGGGGAAGCUCCUUAUGGAGCGAAGUCUUUGAUUCCCCGCUGCCAAGAAAAGCUUCUAGCGAGAUAAAAGGUGCCUGUACCGCAAACCGACACAGGUAGGCGAGGAGAGAAUCCUAAGGUGUGCGAGAGAACUCUGGUUAAGGAACUCGGCAAAAUGACCCCGUAACUUCGGGAGAAGGGGUGCUUUCUUAACGGAAAGCCGCAGUGAAUAGGCCCAAGCGACUGUUUAGCAAAAACACAGCUCUCUGCGAAGCCGUAAGGCGAAGUAUAGGGGGUGACACCUGCCCGGUGCUGGAAGGUUAAGGAGAGGGGUUAGCGUAAGCGAAGCUCUGAACUGAAGCCCCAGUAAACGGCGGCCGUAACUAUAACGGUCCUAAGGUAGCGAAAUUCCUUGUCGGGUAAGUUCCGACCCGCACGAAAGGUGUAACGAUUUGGGCACUGUCUCAACCAGAGACUCGGUGAAAUUAUAGUACCUGUGAAGAUGCAGGUUACCCGCGACAGGACGGAAAGACCCCGUGGAGCUUUACUGUAGCCUGAUAUUGAAUUUUGGUACAGUUUGUACAGGAUAGGCGGGAGCCUUUGAAACCGGAGCGCUAGCUUCGGUGGAGGCGCUGGUGGGAUACCGCCCUGACUGUAUUGAAAUUCUAACCUACGGGUCUUAUCGACCCGGGAGACAGUGUCAGGUGGGCAGUUUGACUGGGGCGGUCGCCUCCUAAAGUGUAACGGAGGCGCCCAAAGGUUCCCUCAGAAUGGUUGGAAAUCAUUCGUAGAGUGCAAAGGCAUAAGGGAGCUUGACUGCGAGACCUACAAGUCGAGCAGGGACGAAAGUCGGGCUUAGUGAUCCGGUGGUUCCGCAUGGAAGGGCCAUCGCUCAACGGAUAAAAGCUACCCCGGGGAUAACAGGCUUAUCUCCCCCAAGAGUCCACAUCGACGGGGAGGUUUGGCACCUCGAUGUCGGCUCAUCGCAUCCUGGGGCUGUAGUCGGUCCCAAGGGUUGGGCUGUUCGCCCAUUAAAGCGGUACGCGAGCUGGGUUCAGAACGUCGUGAGACAGUUCGGUCCCUAUCCGUCGUGGGCGUAGGAAAUUUGAGAGGAGCUGUCCUUAGUACGAGAGGACCGGGAUGGACGCACCGCUGGUGUACCAGUUGUUCUGCCAAGGGCAUAGCUGGGUAGCUAUGUGCGGAAGGGAUAAGUGCUGAAAGCAUCUAAGCAUGAAGCCCCCCUCAAGAUGAGAUUUCCCAUAGCGUAAGCUAGUAAGAUCCCUGAAAGAUGAUCAGGUUGAUAGGUUCGAGGUGGAAGCAUGGUGACAUGUGGAGCUGACGAAUACUAAUAGAUCGAGGACUUAACCAU
Molecule: ribosomal RNA, 2920 nt
Filed under: Bacillus anthracis (anthrax bacterium)
Lineage: Bacteria; Bacillati; Bacillota; Bacilli; Caryophanales; Bacillaceae
Description: bacterial LSU rRNA
Rfam family: Bacterial large subunit ribosomal RNA
Source: RNAcentral